Molecule: ribosomal RNA, 482 nt
Filed under: uncultured bacterium
Lineage: Bacteria
Description: partial 16S ribosomal RNA
Rfam family: Bacterial small subunit ribosomal RNA
Source: RNAcentral
AUUGAACGCUGGCGGCAUGCCUUACACAUGCAAAUCGAACGGUAACGGGCCUUCGGGUGCCGACGAGUGGCGAACGGGUGAGUAAUACAUCGGAACGUGCCCGAUCGUGGGGGAUAACGAGGCGAAAGCUUUGCUAAUACCGCAUACGAUCUACGGAUGAAAGCAGGGGACCGCAAGGCCUUGCGCGGACGGAGCGGCCGACGGCAGAUUAGGUAGUUGGUGGGAUAAAAGCUUACCAAGCCGACGAUCUGUAGCUGGUCUGAGAGGAUGAUCAGCCACACUGGGACUGAGACACGGCCCAGACUCCUACGGGAGGCAGCAGUGGGGAAUUUUGGACAAUGGGCGCAAGCCUGAUCCAGCCAUGCCGCGUGCAGGAUGAAGGCCUUCGGGUUGUAAACUGAUUUUGUACGGAACGAAAAGCCUUCUUUUAAUACAGGAGGGUCAUGACGGUACCGUAAGAAUAAGCACCGGCUAACUACGUG